GCUCCCGUAGCUCAGUGGAUAGAGCAUCUGCCUUCUAAGCAGAGGGUCGCAGGUUCGAGUCCUGCCGGGGGUA
This 73-nucleotide transfer RNA is filed under the name Pyrinomonadaceae bacterium. Its description in RNAcentral is "tRNA-Arg". It matches the Rfam family "tRNA". From Rfam's summary of the family: Transfer RNA (tRNA) molecules are approximately 80 nucleotides in length. The record is from RNAcentral. RNAcentral also lists the same sequence under 1 other name. Lineage: Bacteria; Pseudomonadati; Acidobacteriota; Blastocatellia; Blastocatellales; Pyrinomonadaceae.